RNAcentral lists this long non-coding RNA (3572 nucleotides) under Gallus gallus (chicken). RNAcentral's name for it is "lncRNA (ENSGALG00010006466.1)". Lineage: Eukaryota; Metazoa; Chordata; Aves; Galliformes; Phasianidae. The record is from RNAcentral.
UGCUCUAUCACCUGCAUAGACAGGGCCGGAUGUGGAGAAGGAAUCUUACAGUUCAUAAACAAGAUCAUAAAAGAACAACUUGCUUUGUUACCACUUCUACUGAGGCUGUGAAACACGAGUUACUGAAAAUACUACACUGCAGCUUGUGUCCAUGAGGCUCAGGAGAAUGAGAUGCUGUGCUGCAAACAACUCAGAAGCAGGAAAGGAGAAGAAGGAGGGGAGAAAAUGAGCUGCCUCAGUAAUAUACCUCCUCUGACAAAGCUGAAAGUGCCUGGCUAUUUCUCAGCAAAUGAAAAAAAGUCUAAAGGAAUGAGGACUUGUGUGGCCUCCCCCAACCAAAAAAAUAAAAAAAGAGGAAAUGAGACUGUAAACUAUUCCUGAGGUGGAAGAAACACCAACAUGAAUUCUUGACAGAAAAAAAAAGUCCUUGUGCUGCUCCUCUGCCCCAUUUUGCAACUGUGCUAUCCUGGCAAAGACUUUUGGAUUAAAUCUACAGAUUACACUGGACCUGACUUCACUCAGAGACUGAAAUACGUGCCGCUCUCUUGAUGAGCAGAUACAUUACAUUCAAUCUAUCUAGCAGUUUUUGUCCUGCACAAGCCAAAUCUCCUUUCAACAUCAAUAUUAUUUAUUAGCUCAUGAGCUUUCCUCUGCAAGUCAUCACCAGGAGAUCUGAGAGCCUCUACAGACACUAGCAAGCCUAUUCUCAUACUGGGUGAGAGAGUGCUGGGGAAGUCAUAAGGAACCUGAAAUUUCAUGGAUGCCCAGUAACAGAUGUCUAGAACCUGUAUUCAAAGUAUGUCCAUACGAAAUGUUUAGUAAAGGUGAUUUACUCAGCAUCACUUAUCCCACUGUACAAAGAACACUGUCAUUUUAUGUGAUGAAAGUACUUAUUUACAAUGCUCUCCAGACAUACUCACAGUUCAUUAGAAGUCUAAUUGGAGGUAGGGUCUUCUGUUUUAUCCCAUCUUUGGAAAGGCACUUGGAUAAAAAUGAGCUAAGAAAACAUGCGUGUGCUUUACAAAACAAAGUAACAAGGAACUGAUUUUAAUUACAUAUAGUACCCUUGAUUUUCUUAUUUAUGCAUCCCAAGCCACUACUCUUCCCCAUUAUUACAUUUCCAGGUCUCAGUGUUUUCAUUCAAAGUUUUGAGUGCUUCUGAAAACUCAGACCAGCCCCCACCUCCCCAGCUUUAGUGAUGCUGGGGAGCACAGACAUGUGGUGUGGUGCCACCUCAGCUGUGAAUAGUUAACACUGUUAUAGUUCAAAACUUCAGCCAGGAAUGCUACCUGUGAGGGCAGAGUGCCUUGGGACAGAAAGUCCUUGGCAGGAGCUAAACCGUAAUGAGCUUAAAAUGUACUGAGGAGUUCGGCAAAUACAAAGCCAGGUCACAGAAUAGGUAGCUGCAGAAAUUUUCCUAUGUGUAAUGUUUAUAAGACAAUUAUUUACAUUAUCUGGAUGGUUUUAAUUACAGGACAGUUCAGACCAGUUUCUUUAAGUUUUCCCAAGGGGUAAUUAGUCACCCUGUGAAUUUGCAUAUUUUCCAUUGCUCUAUCGAAGCAAAUCAGCUAUACUUAUUGGAAGAUUGACCUGGCAACCUCUGUUCUUAGCAGAUUAUAGUCUGAGUUUCAUCAUGACGUCAGCUAGUAUAUUAGGAGAUGUUCUGGUCUGUACUUCUAGAGCAAGUAAACUUUGGGCUCUUCAUUUAAAAUGUGAGAAAUUUUGAGACAUGGUAAAAAGGGGUAUCUUAUUCAUAGGGGAAAGUAGCAAUGAACUACUGCCCUACAGAUGUUCACAUGUUCACUCUAUCUCCUAAAACACAGUUUGCACAAGGGAAUAAGAUAGAGUGCUAGCCUGGAGCAGAAGUCACUUCUCCAUACCAGUUCUGCAGGAUUCUACAUACCAGGUUCAGCUGAUCCUGCUGGAAUUCCUUGCUGAGCCAAAUUUUGGCUCCUACAGACCAUCUGUGCACUGCAAAGACCCUGGCUCCUUGCCUGUCUGCUACAUUGCCUCCCAAAGUACUCACAAACCAUGCAGCAGUAAGUUCCAAAUUAGUUCAUAUACGUACCGAUAAAUUCAUCUGUACAAGUUAUGCCUUGUUUUUUAAAAUAUUAUCCAAACUAAAUUUAUAUCCAAGCAAUAAUACACAAGAAGUAGCUUGCAGAUCUUUGGGGUUAAAAUGGGAAUGAAUGACCUUGAGAAGACGUUCUUUGGAGGGAGAGAGGCAAUCCAGUAGUGGAACUUAAUCUGAAUCACAUUAAUUCAAUACUACAGGUGAACAACCUUUAGUGUAACAACAGCCUGACAACAAAAGCUAGAUAUUUACACCGAUGCUCUAAUUGUUAGUCUAUUUCUUUAGAUUUGCAUCAUGUACCCAGUUUUCAAACAGGAGAACAAUUGUUUACUGUAGGUGUCCUUUUAUGAAUCAUCAACAGUGAGUGAAGAUGUACUCUUACUGCAAUCAUUUAAUAAUUAAUUAGUAAUAGGGACAUACAUGUUUAAGUGUUUUGCAUGUCGUACCUUCUGUUCUUGUUUAACAGAGACAUUUCACAGCUUGUGAAUGCUGUGCAGAUAAUAUUUUCUUCUCUUUAAAAUAAAGGAAUAAGAUGACUAUUUCAAUGUGCCUAGUGAAAUAUGACCUUUUACUGAAAAUAUCAAGAGUGCACAGAGCUCUCAAGAGUUUCAGUUUUCUGCUACAGGCAGCAGAGUGACCAUGGCAGGGGAACAGAGUGAUUCUGUUGCAUGCCACAUCUCAGGUCAAUCAUUGGCAUUGGCAUGGUCAGCAAACUCAACUCUCUUGUCCUUUUCUCCUACUUUUCUUUGUACUCUUCUGGUAAAUUCAUUAUGUUUUAAUUCUAUUCAUACAGUAACAAUUGCAGUGGAUGUCCAGGUUUGCAAAAAUGCAUUAGAUACAUUAACAGCAAUCUAAGUAGUGACUAUUAGAUCCAAGAGUUUAGAUGUGUUGCAGAUUGUUAAUGGGAAGGUAAAAAAAAAAUAAGUAAUGGUUCAUAUUAGUCUGAGAAGUUGUUCUUUCCCUAUCAGAAAUCUUCUUCCAGCUCUGCCAUGAAUUAAACUAGUUCUAGUGGCAGUCGAUCUGCACGUGGUUGCAGAUUUUUUUUUCCUCUGGAUUUUUUCCUCUGUACUAUAUAGAACUCUACUUAUAACCCACUCUUCCACAGAAUGCUUGGUACUGCUUAGGAAUAUAGACAUAAUCAUAUUUAACAAACAAAGAAGAGCUGCAAAUCCUUAGUGAAGAUGCUUGUAUAUUGGCUAAGAUAAAUCUGCCUACUGCUAGGGAAGAGAAGAGGUUAUGGGUACGUUUCAACUGAUUAAUCCAUGCCAGCAAACACUUUGAAGUCUUGUGAAAGCUCAAAGAUAAAGAGCACAGAGUAUCUGUGAAAGCAGUUCCAGUGAAAGCAGUUCCACCUAACAUAAUUUAAAUAAUUAUUCUUCUCAUCUUAACGGUAACUGAAUUAAAAGUGGUAUAUCUUUUGCCCUUUAUUUAAACCAUGUAAAAAAUAGGAUAAUAAUAAAUCUAUGCUUAAUCCAACCAAGAUCAACAAAGAUUCUAA